Long non-coding RNA from Dermochelys coriacea (leatherback sea turtle), 1999 nucleotides. RefSeq lists it as uncharacterized. The record is from RefSeq and is a predicted model, not a curated record. The transcript is spliced from 4 exons. Lineage: Eukaryota; Metazoa; Chordata; Testudines; Dermochelyidae.
AUCAGGAAUAACCUUCUUGAGGUCCAGUUUAAAGAUUAUAAUCAAAACAAAAAGCAUUUGGGGUUAGCAUAGAGGAAUCCACAAACCAAUAAGAAAUAAACAGAAAUAAACCUAAUUGCAACUUUCUAAACAUUCCCUAAUUUACUUAUAUAUGUGGGAUUUCAGAUAAGUAAUCUCUAGGUAUGAUUUGAUGGUUUUUCAUCUGGCUUAAGCAUCUCACAGCAUAACUGCUCCCUGUUCCCCUCUUUCCCAGAGAAUCACAACACACAGACAAAGGGAAGGUUUUUUUUCCCAAUUUUAAGAAGUUCUAGCCUUCCCAUUGACUCUUUUGGUCAGGUGCCCACUCCUUUCCUUUUACCUGUGGACUUAUUAAGCUUUUACAGGUAAAGCAAAUAGAGAACAACCACCAAGAGGGAUUUCAUAGCCAACAGGCUGGCUGGGAGUCUACAAAAGGGAGCUAUCCCCUCACUCAUUUAUCACAAUAGAAGAGGAGAAAGGGGCAGAAAGAACCAUUUAAAGGGAAGGGGGGGGGAAAUCUACAGUAUAAUUCUAAAAACAAAUCUAACUUUACUUUUCCAAAAUGGAAUCCCAACUGAGUAAUGAAGAAAGUUUAGUGCAGUUCACCUCUUGAACAAGUUGCAAGAUCCCUAAUUCUUUUCACCUUUGGCACAAUCAUUUAUUACAAUGGCAAGUUCAAGCUCAGAAGGUUUGCGCCAUUAUAAGAAUCAGAUAUUUUUAAAUUUCACUUGGGCUUUUAUCUGGAUUUAGUUUGCUGAAAUUUUUAACCGGAAGAAAAACCCAUUACAGUUUAAUGAUAUUAUUGCAUUAGCUUUAUUUUAGUAAAGUUAGGUCCCAAUACCACCAAAGAAAAAGUCUCAGCCUAUCAGUGGAUAUGUAAUUUCUGGAACUAACAACUCACUAUGGUAUACUAAGAAAAAGGCAAAAGCAGCCAGUUUCUUUCCAUCAAAAAAGUUAAUCAUUGACCUUUAUUUUUUUCCUUGUUAAAAAAGUCCAUCAUAGUUUGGAACUGUUGCAGGGCAAAUGCACAUGCACAUUGUUUUCUUUAAUUUGGUGGGAGAAAAGGACAGAAGAGUGCCUCUAGUUCCCACGAGCUCUCUCCACUCAGUCCAGUGACCCCUGUUAUACAAACAACUUAGCAAAAAUUUAGUUUCCCCAAGCCAGCUAGCGUAUUGAAAUUCCAAAGUACUUGGAGAGAAAAGUAUAAUCUCUUGAAUAAAACUUAUAUAAUUAUUCACCUACAAAGCAAACAAGUGAAAAACAAAUUAGUUAUGUGACAGAGCUGACUAGGCUGAGAGGUUUAUAUAGUUUACAAGAUGGUGCACUGACGUCAUGGAGAAAAAGAAAAAGUGAGCUAUGACAGCUGCUUGCCACUAUCACCAAUUCUGAUCUGCAAAGUCAUCAUUACUCAGCAAAGAAAAUAAAUGGAUUCUAUAGAAGUGGAAGAGGAUGGAUCUGCACAGAUGGAGAGAUGUGUAUGGCCCUUAACUGCCCUUUAUUCCAAUACACUGAGUCUGGCCUCUUCCUGCUAAACGAACAGUUGGACUCAGAUGGAUCUUUUGAAUGCUGCUUUUACUAACUAGUCUUGAGUGUGUGAAAAAUUCAUCUCAAGAAAUGGCUGGACCAAUGUGAUCAUUUGAGGAAGAACAGCCAUUUUCUUUGGCAGCUUGAAGAAAAGUGGUGAAUAGAAAUGGAAAAGAUAAGCGGGAAUAUAAAUGCAGCAGGAGAAGAAAAGAGGAACACGAGAGAAUUAAGACAUAAAUGAGGUUUAGGAGACCUACAUGGCCAACCAAAAUGGGUUCCUGAACAAACAUUAUUAGUCCUAACCAGAACAAUGUAGCUAAUUAAAGUGCAAGUGAUUUAAAUCUAAUUAACUUUACUUAAAACAGAAAACUUAGGGCAUGUCUACACUUACCUGCAGAGUGAUCAAUCCAAAAGGGGUCGAUUUAUCGCAUCUAGUGAACAUGUGAUAAAUCGACCG